RNAcentral lists this ribosomal RNA (465 nucleotides) under uncultured bacterium. RNAcentral describes it as "bacterial SSU rRNA". It matches the Rfam family "Bacterial small subunit ribosomal RNA", at positions 917 to 1382 of the family's 1533-position model. The record is from RNAcentral.
GGGCCCGCACAAGCGGUGGAGCAUGUGGUUCAAUUCGACGCAACGCGAAGAACCUUACCUGGGCUCGAAAUGUAGUGGAAUGAGGUGGAAACAUCUCCGUCUCGCAAGAGACUGCUAUAUAGGUGCUGCAUGGCUGUCGUCAGCUCGUGUCGUGAGAUGUUGGGUUAAGUCCCGCAACGAGCGCAACCCUUAUUGCCAGUUGCCAUCAUUUAGUUGGGCACUCUGGCGAAACUGCCCCGGAUAACGGGGAGGAAGGUGGGGAUGACGUCAAGUCCUCAUGGCCUUUAUGUCCAGGGCUACACACGUGCUACAAUGGGUGGUACAAACCGUCGCAAACCCGCGAGGGGGAGCUAAUCGGAAAAAGCCAUCCUCAGUUCGGAUUGGAGUCUGCAACUCGACUCCAUGAAGCUGGAAUCGCUAGUAAUCGCGGAUCAGCACGCCGCGGUGAAUACGUUCCCGGGCCUU